GCUGGCGGCGUGCCUAAUACAUGCAAGUCGAGCGAAUGGAUUAAGAGCUUGCUCUUAUGAAGUUAGCGGCGGACGGGUGAGUAACACGUGGGUAACCUGCCCAUAAGACUGGGAUAACUCCGGGAAACCGGGGCUAAUACCGGAUAACAUUUUGAACCGCAUGGUUCGAAAUUGAAAGGCGGCUUCGGCUGUCACUUAUGGAUGGACCCGCGUCGCAUUAGCUAGUUGGUGAGGUAACGGCUCACCAAGGCAACGAUGCGUAGCCGACCUGAGAGGGUGAUCGGCCACACUGGGACUGAGACACGGCCCAGACUCCUACGGGAGGCAGCAGUAGGGAAUCUUCCGCAAUGGACGAAAGUCUGACGGAGCAACGCCGCGUGAGUGAUGAAGGCUUUCGGGUCGUAAAACUCUGUUGUUAGGGAAGAACAAGUGCUAGUUGAAUAAGCUGGCACCUUGACGGUACCUAACCAGAAAGCCACGGCUAACUACGUGCCAGCAGCCGCGGUAAUACGUAGGUGGCAAGCGUUAUCCGGAAUUAUUGGGCGUAAAGCGCGCGCAGGUGGUUUCUUAAGUCUGAUGUGAAAGCCCACGGCUCAACCGUGGAGGGUCAUUGGAAACUGGGAGACUUGAGUGCAGAAGAGGAAAGUGGAAUUCCAUGUGUAGCGGUGAAAUGCGUAGAGAUAUGGAGGAACACCAGUGGCG
Molecule: ribosomal RNA, 702 nt
Filed under: Bacillus sp. 5BL
Lineage: Bacteria; Bacillati; Bacillota; Bacilli; Caryophanales; Bacillaceae
Description: bacterial SSU rRNA
Rfam family: Bacterial small subunit ribosomal RNA
Source: RNAcentral